AUUGAACGCUGGCGGAAUGCUUUACACAUGCAAGUCGAACGGCAGCACGGGGCAACCUGGUGGCGAGUGGCGAACGGGUGAGUAAUACAUCGGAACGUGCCCAAUCGUGGGGGAUAACGUAGCGAAAGUUACGCUAAUACCGCAUACGAUCUACGGAUGAAAGCGGGGGAUCGCAAGACCUCGCGCGAUUGGAGCGGCCGAUAUCAGAUUAGGUAGUUGGUGGGGUAAAGGCCCACCAAGCCAACGAUCUGUAGCUGGUCUGAGAGGACGACCAGCCACACUGGAACUGAGACACGGUCCAGACUCCUACGGGAGGCAGCAGUGGGGAAUUUUGGGCAAUGGACGAAAGUCUGACCCAGCAACGCCGCGUGAAGGAAGAAGGUUUUCGGAUCGUAAACUUCUAUCCUUGGUGAAGAUAAUGACGGUAGCCAAGAAGGAAGCCCCGGCUAACUACGUG
This 457-nucleotide ribosomal RNA is filed under the name uncultured bacterium. RNAcentral's name for it is "bacterial SSU rRNA". It matches the Rfam family "Bacterial small subunit ribosomal RNA", at positions 30 to 507 of the family's 1533-position model. The record is from RNAcentral.